RNAcentral lists this long non-coding RNA (1389 nucleotides) under Salvator merianae (Argentine black and white tegu). RNAcentral's name for it is "lncRNA (ENSSMRG00000011622.1)". The record is from RNAcentral. Lineage: Eukaryota; Metazoa; Chordata; Lepidosauria; Squamata; Teiidae.
GCCAAAAUAUUUGGGUACUACCAGAAAUGGCUGAAAAUAAAGCAAAAAAAGAAGAAGUAUCACAUCCUCUUCUCCUUUUGUUCAGCAAAAAUUGAUUUAAAACCUGAGGAACCAAAGGUAGAGGAGAAGGCAGAAGCUCUACCUAAAGUAAGUAAGAAGCAGCAGUGGUGAUCCAAAACCCAGAACCACAGGGGAGGUGGAACCACAGUCAGUACCAUCUUUUUUGCUCCUUCAGCUGCAUUUUCAUCCGUACCUUUAUUCUGAAUGUUUUCUUUUCUUUUCACUUCUCAUCAAAUCAUUACGGGAGUUUGCUUUUUUUGGUUUAUUUAUUUAUUUAUUGUUUGUUUGUUUCUAUGCCACCCUUAAACCAGAACUCUCUCUGAGUGGCUUACAGUAUAUAAUUUCAGAGAAGUCCCUAGUCUCAGGCGUACAAUCUAAAGGGACAAGACACAAAAGGAAAAGGCUCCGGGAUGGAAGAGGGGACAGUAAUCCCGAAAUAGGAAAUGAAUAGAUAACAUGCUGCUGGGUACACAAAUGGGUAGAGCACAGUAUUGUCCUAUUCAUCCUUAAUGCUACAAAUGUCAGUAGUUUUCAGGUAAAAGGAGCAUUUGUACAAUGGCAUGAUGGGUAAAGUAUCAAGUCCCGUAACUUCCAUCUGGAUGUAUCAGUGAACAAUGGAUCUGAAUUCCCAGUCUAGCCUUCCAUGGCAGCAGCUUUUCUAAUACUUUUUCACCAGCACAGCAUCUGGUUGUCCUCUUAUUCUUCUUUGGACUUUUCCAAUAAGCCCAUGAAGUUCUUUGUAGUUUCCUCUUUUUAUCUCUCCCCUCUUUUCCCGACAGCCUCCCGUCCCAGCCUGGCAGACGUGCUCCAGCUCAUGACGGUCGCGCAUCUGUUCACUUUCUUCCCUUUAGCAAUCAGAGUUGAGCCUUUCCCUCCUGCUUGCACAUCUCUUCCAAGACUCAUUUGGCCGCUGAAGAGGAAAGGAUAUGGAUAAGGAAAAUAAUUCUGAGAGAAAUAGACAAAAGACUAUAAGGACAAGAAUAGUACAAUGAGAAUACCAUUUUCCACUAUCUCAGUGAAGCAACCUUUCCCUGUAGAAGAAGAGCUAUGGGGAAGUUUCUGUAAUAGAAAGAACACAUUUUCCCACAAGAAAAACAUUCUGGCACAAUCCUUUUGUGUCUCUGUUUAUGUUUUCCUGUGAAAAGUUAGGAAAACCUUGUUAAAACAGGCUUUGAGAUUUUUGUUGUUGGGUUACACCCAGUUAUGCACCCAAAAACGCUUUAUGAUAGAACUAAGCUGAAGACUCAGCAAUUAAUUUCUUUUUUAAGCUUCACAGAAUAAGUUCAGAAACUCAGUUUCCAAUAAAGAUGUACUAAAUAAGCCUCUCCA